This 287-nucleotide unclassified non-coding RNA is filed under the name Acrocalymma sp. Its description in RNAcentral is "partial contains 5.8S ribosomal RNA, internal transcribed spacer 2, and large subunit ribosomal RNA". The stretch from base 1 to 71 matches the Rfam family "5.8S ribosomal RNA", at positions 84 to 154 of the family's 154-position model. The record is from RNAcentral. Lineage: Eukaryota; Fungi; Ascomycota; Dothideomycetes; Pleosporales; Acrocalymmaceae.
GUGAGUCAUCGAAUCUUUGAACGCACAUUGCGCCCCUUGGUAUUCCAUGGGGCAUGCCUGUUCGAGCGUCAUUUGAACCCUCAAGCUUUGCUUGGUGUUGGGCGUUUGUCCCGCUAUUGCGUGUGGACUCGCCUUAAAGGAAUUGGCAGCCAGUGUUAUCCGGCUUUGAGCGCAGCACAAUGCGUACUCUAGGUUGAUACAUUAGCAUCCAAAAGUUCAUUUUUUACUCUUGACCUCGGAUCAGGUAGGGAUACCCGCUGAACUUAAGCAUAUCAAUAAGCGGAGGA